UGUAGUGGGCUGUAGGAACUGUCCAGAGCAAAAUCAGUCUGUCCUGAUGGCACUACCUGCUACUAUGGCUGCUGCUCUCAACCUGGUGGGGCAAGUCUUAAGAGUUGCAGACGGGGGAGCAAAAGGAGUUCCUGGACCCUUAAAGGGUUAAGGCCAUAAUGGGCCACCUAGAAGAGAUUCAGGCACUCCCUCAAGAUUGCUGGGCCAUGCAAUUAAUGCCAAACUUGCAGAACUGUGAUGUCAGUACAAAAACAAAAAUGGCCAUUUUUAAAUAAAUUCAACAAA
Sardina pilchardus (European sardine) is the source of this 285-nucleotide long non-coding RNA. RefSeq lists it as uncharacterized. The transcript has 3 exons. The record is from RefSeq and is a predicted model, not a curated record. Lineage: Eukaryota; Metazoa; Chordata; Actinopteri; Clupeiformes; Clupeidae.